Macaca mulatta (Rhesus monkey) is the source of this 2926-nucleotide long non-coding RNA. RefSeq lists it as uncharacterized. The record is from RefSeq and is a predicted model, not a curated record. Lineage: Eukaryota; Metazoa; Chordata; Mammalia; Primates; Cercopithecidae.
CAUUCCACAAACGACUGUAUAAAAUAAAGCAGAGCACGCCAUUCGAGGCGGCCGCCAUGUUUGUCUUGUCUUGUGUUGUCUUGUGUGUUCAUUCCUUUGUUUAGGAAACACGCGGACCCCAACAGAAACAGAUCUUGUUUUGGUCAGUGGGAUAGCUAACAGAAAACAAGUGAUACCAUUCUCCCACCUCAGAAUGGCAAAAGGCAUUGAGUGUCUUUUCAUGUGAUUUUUGGAUAUGACUGUAGAUUUUUUGGAAAAUGGCUAAGUGAAUAAUUUUCCAUUUUUGAUUGGGAUAUUUGCCUUUUUAUUUUCAACUUGUAAGAUAUUGUCAUAUGUUCUGAAUAAUAAACCAUUAUUACCUGUAAAAUUUACAUAUAUUUUCUCUCAUUCCUUGGGUUUCUAAUUUUGAUGGUGUUCUUUGAAUCCCAAAAUGUUUUAAUUGUAAUGAAGUUCAGUACAUCUAUUAUUUAUUCUUUUCCUGUGUUUUCAGUGUCAUAUCUUAGAAAACAUUGUUUAACCUAAGAUUGCAAAGAUGUUUUUCUGUGUUUUGUGUAUGGUUUGGGCCUAUUUAGCUAUUAUAUUUAGAUGUAUGAUUGUUUUGAGUCAAUUAUGUUUGUGGUGUGAGGCAGGAGUCCGACUUGCCUAUGGAUAUCUACAUUUUCCAGAAACAUUUGAUAAAAAAAACUCUAUACCUAAUUUAUUUGGCCAUUUGUUAUUCCAUCAUUAAUGUAAGGAUUUAUUUUUGAGCAUUAUAUUCUAUUCUGUUGAUCAAUAUGUAAAUCCUUAUACUAGUACCAUAAAUCUUGAUUCGUAUUCUUUUGUAUUAAUAGUAAAUUUUUCUUUCUUUCUUUUUGAGACAGAGUCUUGCUCUGUCUCCCAGACUGGAGGGCAGUGGUGCAAUCUUGGCUCACUGCAACCUCCACCUCCUGUGUUCAAGCAAUUCUUGUGCAAGCAUUUCUCGUGCGUGAGCCUCCCAAGUACAUGGAAUUACAAGUAUGAGCCACCGUGACCAAUUUUUGGAUUUUUAGUACAGACAGGGUUUCAUCAUGUUAGCCAGGCUGGUCUCAAACUCCUGACCUCAAGUGCUCUGCCCACCUCAGCCUCCAAAAGUGCUCAGAUUACAGACGUGGGUCACUGUGCCGGCCUGUAUUAAUAGUAAGUUUUGAAAUCAGCAAGUGGAUGUCUACAAUGCCAACCUUUUUCCUCUUACUCAAGAUUAUUUAGGCCACUCUGGAUCUAUUGCAUUGCAUAUGAACUUUAGAAUAACCUUGUUAAUUUUGAGGAAGGAAAUAUCACCUGGGAUUUUGGUAGAGGUUGCAUUAAAUCUAUAGAUCUAUUUGGAAAAUAUUGCCAUCCUAACAGUACUAACCCUUCUAAGCAAUGAACAUUAAAAUAUUUUCUAUUUAAGUUUGUUCAAUAUGUUUUCUGUAGUUUUUGUGUACAUAUCUUACACUUAAUUUGAUAAACAUGCCUAUUUUCGAUGCCAUCUUAAGUGGAACGGUUUUCUGAGUUUUGUUUUUAGAUUGUUAAUCACUAAUGUAUAGAAAUUCAAAUGAUUUUAUAUGUUGACCCUAUAUACUGCAAGUUUGUUACUCAUGUUUAAGUUUUAAAUAUAUUUCAUUAGAGUCCUUUGGAUUUUUUUAUAUAUAAGAUUAUGUCAUUUGCAAACAGAGUUUGACUUCCCUUAUCUGUCUUAUUUGCUGCAUGUUUUUAUCAUAGUGAGUUCAGGAAUUCUCAGGUGUUUCUGCAUGUUUUGAGAUACUUAUAUGGUUUUGUUUUUUAUUAUAUUAAUAUAGUGCAUGGCAUUAAUUGUCCUUGAACAUUGUACCAAAUGUUGCUUUCCUGAGGUAAAUACCCUUGACAUAUUUUAUAAUACUUUUUACAUGUUGUUGAUUUGUUUUGCUAGGAUUUCUUUGAUGAUUUUUGGGUCUAUAUUCAUAAGGUGUGUUAUUCUUAAUUUUCAUUUUUUGCAAUCUGUUUGUCUAGUUGUGGUAUCAGGGUAAACUAACUCAUAGUAUAAAUGAAAUGCGAUGCCUUCUCCACUUUGUUGUUGUUGUUUUUAAGAAUUUAUUAUAAAUUAAUUGUUUAAGUGAUUCCAAUAACUCACUAAUGAAUUACCUUGACUGGGGCAAGGAAGUGAAUCCUAAGAAGAAUCAUGUCAGCUUGGAAGGAGACCUUUCCCCAGCUGAGCCUCAGCCUGGGCCAUCAUCUACAUCUGGACUGAAGACCCAGAGAAACUACUCCCAUCAUGCGUUCUGUGGACACUCACAUCCGGGAAUUAUAAUGCCAGUUGGCAUUCCUAAAGCUUCCACGCUAGCAGGUUUGGAGUAAUUCACCAGUGAAGUCUUCUUAACCUGGGCAAUCAUAUGAACUUGGAAGAUGAUCCGUCCCCAUCUCAUCUUUCAGUUGAAACCUCAGCCUUGGCCAUCACCUACAUCUGGAUUUCUGACUCAGAGAAACUGUGAGUAAUAGACUAAUUGCCCUGAGCACAGCCUCCAGUACGAUGUUCAAAGCAAGUGUCAAGAGUGGAAAUUCUUGUCUUGUUUCUAAUCUUGGAAAAAUUAGUAAACAUUUCAGGAGAUUCCAACGACACACUAGUCAGUUCUUCUUGAUUGGGGCAGGGAAGUGCAUCCGAAGAGCAAUCACGUGAUCUUGGAAGGAGACCCUUCUCCAGCUGAGCCUCGGUGUGGGUCACCAUCUGCAUCUGGACUGAAGACUCAGAGAAACUGUGAGUAAUAGGUAUGUGACUUUGAGCCACUAAGGUAUGUAGUAAUUUGUUAGGCACCAAGUACUAAUAAGAAAAAUUUGGGAGGCCGAGGCGGGUGGAUCACGAGGUCAGGAGAUCGAGACCAUCCUGGCUAACACGGUGAAACCCCAUCUCUACUAAAAAUACAAAAAAUUAGCCGGGCGAGGUGGCGACGCCUGU